GGACCGGUAGUGUAGUGGUUAACACACUGAGUCCAGACGUGAAGAGGGGUGGUUCGAAUCCCUCCCGGUUCA
This 72-nucleotide transfer RNA is filed under the name Gongylonema pulchrum. It matches the Rfam family "tRNA". Rfam says of the family: Transfer RNA (tRNA) molecules are approximately 80 nucleotides in length. Their secondary structure includes four short double-helical elements and three loops (D, anti-codon, and T loops). Lineage: Eukaryota; Metazoa; Nematoda; Chromadorea; Rhabditida; Gongylonematidae. The record is from Rfam by way of RNAcentral.